RNAcentral lists this ribosomal RNA (291 nucleotides) under uncultured bacterium. RNAcentral describes it as "partial 16S ribosomal RNA". It matches the Rfam family "Bacterial small subunit ribosomal RNA", at positions 505 to 796 of the family's 1533-position model. The record is from RNAcentral.
GUGCCAGCAGCCGCGGUAAUACGUAGGGGGCAAGCGUUGUCCGGAAUUAUUGGGCGUAAAGCGCGCGCAGGCGGCGAAUUAAGUUUGGUGUUUAAGCCCGGGGCUCAACCCCGGAUCGCACUGAAAACUGGUUGGCUUGAGUGCGGGAGAGGAAAGUGGAAUUCCACGUGUAGCGGUGAAAUGCGUAGAGAUGUGGAGGAACACCAGUGGCGAAGGCGACUUUCUGGACCGUAACUGACGCUGAGGCGCGAAAGCGUGGGGAGCAAACAGGAUUAGAUACCCGCGUAGUCC